GACGAACGCUGGCGGCGUGCUUAACACAUGCAAGUCGAGCGGAGCGGCGAACGGGUGAGUAACGCGUGAGUAACUGCCCCCCUCUCUGGGAUAACAGUUGGAAACGGCUGCUAAUACCGGAUAGUGGGGGAUGACUCGGGGCCUAUCAGCUUGUUGGGGGGGUAGUGGCCUACGAAGGGGACGACGGGUAGCCGGCCUGAGAGGUGGACCGGCCACAUGGGGCUGAGAUACGGCCCAGACUGCUACGGGAGGCAGCAGUGGGGAAUAUUGCACAAUGGGGCAAAGCCUGAGUCAGAAACGCCGCGUGCGGGAUGCCGGCCUUCGGGUUGUAAACCGCUUUCAGCCAUGACGCGGUAGUGGCAGAAGAAGCACCGGCUAACUACGUGCCAGCAGCCGCGGUAAUAC
RNAcentral lists this ribosomal RNA (405 nucleotides) under uncultured bacterium. Its description in RNAcentral is "partial 16S ribosomal RNA". It matches the Rfam family "Bacterial small subunit ribosomal RNA", at positions 28 to 526 of the family's 1533-position model. The record is from RNAcentral.